AGUUUACCACGAUGAAAUGCAUGGGAAGUCCAUGUUUCAGGUGAUUACCCUGAUUAAACACAUGCUCCUAACUGACU
This is a small nucleolar RNA of Cavia porcellus (domestic guinea pig), 77 nucleotides long. RefSeq annotates it as small nucleolar RNA SNORD126. The transcript has a single exon. Lineage: Eukaryota; Metazoa; Chordata; Mammalia; Rodentia; Caviidae. The record is from RefSeq and is a predicted model, not a curated record.